GAGAGCGGCGUACGGGUGCGGAACACGUGUGCACUAGCUUAUCUGGGGGAUAGCCUUCGAAAGGAGAUUAUACCCCCAUAUAUGUUGGAUGGCUCAUUCGACAUUGAAACUCCGGUGGAUAGAGAUGGGCCGCCGCAGAUAGAUAGUGGUGAGUACGGUCACCAGUCUACGAUCUUUAGGGCUGAAAGGGUGAUCCCCCAACACUGGUACUGAAACGGACCAACUCCUACGGGAGGCAGCAGUGAGGAAUAUUGGACCAUGGGUGAGAGCCUGAUUCAGCAUCCCGCGUGGAAGGACGACUGGCCUAUGGGUUGUAAACUUCUUUUGUAUAGGGAUAAACCUAACCUUCGGUGAGGGUAGCUGAAGGUACUAAUAACGAAUAAACACCGGUAACUCCGUGCCAGCAGCGGGUAAUACGGAGGGUGCAGCGUUAUCCGGGAUUUAUUGGGGUUAAACGGGUCCGAAGCGGAUCUGAAGGUCCAGGUGGGUGAAAAAUCUUCACCAGUUUAACUUGUGAAAACUUGCCAUUGGNAUAACUGGGAGGGUCUUGAAGUACCGUUGAAGGUGGGGCCGGAAUUGGUGUCCACGUUAAGCGGUGAA
RNAcentral lists this ribosomal RNA (600 nucleotides) under uncultured bacterium. RNAcentral describes it as "partial 16S ribosomal RNA". It matches the Rfam family "Bacterial small subunit ribosomal RNA", at positions 91 to 685 of the family's 1533-position model. The record is from RNAcentral.